GGACUACUCGGGUAUCUAAUCCCGUUUGCUCCCCUGGCCUUCGUGCCUCAGCGUCAGCAACUGUCCAGAGACUCGCCUUCGCCACUGGUCUUCCUUACGAUCUCUACGCAUUUCACUGCUACACCGUAAAUUCCAGUCUCCUCUCCAGUGCUCGAGCAAAGCAGUAUCCAAUGCAGUUCCGGGGUUGAGCCCCGGGAUUUCACAUCGGACUUGCUCUGCCGCCUACGCACCCUUUACGCCCAAUGAAUCCGAACAACGCUCGAGACCUCUGUAUUACCGCGGCUGCUGGCAC
Molecule: ribosomal RNA, 292 nt
Filed under: uncultured bacterium
Lineage: Bacteria
Also listed under: 1 other name
Description: partial 16S ribosomal RNA
Source: RNAcentral